CAGUGGAGUAUGUGGUUUAAUUCGAAGCAACGCGAAGAACCUUACCAGGUCUUGACAUCCCCCUGAAUCACCUAGAGAUAGGUGCGGCCUUCGGGACAGGGGAGACAGGUGGUGCAUGGUUGUCGUCAGCUCGUGUCGUGAGAUGUUGGGUUAAGUCCCGCAACGAGCGCAACCCUUGAAUUCAGUUGCCAGCACCUCGGGUGGGCACUCUGAAUUGACUGCCGGUGACAAACCGGAGGAAGGCGGGGAUGACGUCAAAUCAUCAUGCCCCUUAUGACCUGGGCUACACACGUACUACAAUGGCCGGUACAACGGGCCGCGUAGCCGCGUGGCGGAGCCAAUCCUUAAAAGGCCGGUCUCAGUUCGAAUUGCAGGCUGCAACUCGCCUGCAUGAAGUCGGAAUUGCUAGUAAUCGCGGAUCAGCAUGCCGCGGUGAAUACGUUCCCGGGUCUUGUACACACCGCCCGUCACACCACGAGAGUUUACAACACCCGAAGUCGGUGGGGUAACCCGCAAGGGAGCCAGCCGCCGAAGGUGGGGUGGAUGAUUGGGGUGAAGUCGUAACAAGGUAACCGU
RNAcentral lists this ribosomal RNA (576 nucleotides) under uncultured Paenibacillus sp. Its description in RNAcentral is "bacterial SSU rRNA". It matches the Rfam family "Bacterial small subunit ribosomal RNA", at positions 930 to 1503 of the family's 1533-position model. The record is from RNAcentral. Lineage: Bacteria; Bacillati; Bacillota; Bacilli; Caryophanales; Paenibacillaceae.